This 253-nucleotide ribosomal RNA is filed under the name uncultured bacterium. RNAcentral describes it as "partial 16S ribosomal RNA". It matches the Rfam family "Bacterial small subunit ribosomal RNA", at positions 524 to 776 of the family's 1533-position model. The record is from RNAcentral.
UACGAAGGGGGCUAGCGUUGCUCGGAAUGACUGGGCGUAAAGGGCGCGUAGGCGGCGCGGUAAGUCACUUGUGAAAUCUCUGAGCUUAACUCAGAACGGCCAAGUGAUACUGCAGUGCUAGAGUGUGGAAGGGGCAAUCGGAAUUCUUGGUGUAGCGGUGAAAUGCGUAGAUAUCAAGAGGAACACCUGAGGUGAAGACGGGUUGCUGGGCCAACACUGACGCUGAGGCGCGAAAGCCAGGGGAGCAAACGGG